UACGUAGGGGGCAAGCGUUGUCCGGAAUCAUUGGGCGUAAAGCGCGUGUAGGCGGCUCGGUAAGUCCGCUCUGAAAGCCCGGGGCUCAACCCCGGGAGGCGGGUGGAUACUGCUGAGCUCGAGUCCGGAAGAGGCGAGUGGAAUUCCUGGUGUAGCGGUGAAAUGCGCAGAUAUCAGGAGGAACACCGAUGGCGAAGGCAGCUCGCUGGGACGGUACUGACGCUGAGGAGCGAAAGCGUGGGGAGCGAACAGG
This 253-nucleotide ribosomal RNA is filed under the name uncultured bacterium. RNAcentral's name for it is "partial 16S ribosomal RNA". It matches the Rfam family "Bacterial small subunit ribosomal RNA", at positions 524 to 776 of the family's 1533-position model. The record is from RNAcentral.